This 428-nucleotide ribosomal RNA is filed under the name uncultured archaeon. RNAcentral describes it as "bacterial SSU rRNA". It matches the Rfam family "Archaeal small subunit ribosomal RNA", at positions 474 to 903 of the family's 1478-position model. The record is from RNAcentral.
UACCAGCUCUCCGAGUUGUAGGGAUGAUUACUGGGCUUAAAGCGUCCGUAGCUGGCUUAGCAAGUCUCCUGUUAAAUUCAGCGACCUAAUCGUUGAGCCGCGGGAGAUACUACUAGGCUAGGAGGCGGGAGAGGUCGACGGUACUUUCGGGGUAGGGGUGAAAUCCUAUAAUCCCGGGAGGACCACCAGUGGCGAAGGCUGUCGACUAGAACGCGCUCGACGGUGAGGGACGAAAGCUGGGGGAGCGAACCGGAUUAGAUACCCGGGUAGUCCCAGCUGUAAACUAUGCGGGCUAGGUGUUGGGGUGGCUACGGGCCACUUCAGUGCCGCAGGAAAGCCAUUAAGCCCGCCGCCUGGGGAGUACGGCCGCAAGGCUGAAACUUAAAGGAAUUGGCGGGGAGCACCACAAGGCGUGAAGCUUGCGGUUC